UACGGAGGGUGCGAGCGUUACCCGGAUUUACUGGGCGUAAAGGGCGUGUAGGCGGUUUUCUAAGUCCGGGGCUAAAGACCAGGGCUCAACCCUGGGUUUGCCUUGGAUACUGGAAAGCUCGACGGCUGGAGGGGGCAGCGGAAUUUCCGGAGUAGCGGUGAAAUGCGCAGAGACCGGAAGGAACGCCAAUAGCGAAGGCAGCUGCCUGGACAGUACGUGACGAUGAGGCGCGAAAGAGUGGGGAGCAAACCGG
Molecule: ribosomal RNA, 253 nt
Filed under: uncultured bacterium
Lineage: Bacteria
Description: partial 16S ribosomal RNA
Rfam family: Bacterial small subunit ribosomal RNA
Source: RNAcentral